UGGGGAAUAUUGCACAAUGGAGGGAACUCUGAUGCAGCGACGCCGCGUGAACGAAGAAGGCUUUCGAGUCGUAAAGUUCUUUUAAAUGGGAAGAUAAUGACGGUACCAUAAGAAAAAGCCCCGGCUAACUACGUGCCAGCAGCCGCGGUAAUACGUAGGGGGCUAGCGUUGUCCGGAAUCACUGGGCGUAAAGGGUUCGCAGGCGGAAAUGCAAGUCAGGUGUAAAAGGCAGUAGCUUAACUACUGUAAGCAUUUGAAACUGCAUAUCUUGAGAAGAGUAGAGGUAAGUGGAAUUUUUAGUGUAGCGGUGAAAUGCGUAGAUAUUAAAAAGAAUACCGGUGGCGAAGGCGGCUUACUGGGCUCAUUCUGACGCUGAGGAACGAAAGCGUGGGUAGCAAACAGG
RNAcentral lists this ribosomal RNA (403 nucleotides) under bacterium. Its description in RNAcentral is "partial 16S ribosomal RNA". It matches the Rfam family "Bacterial small subunit ribosomal RNA", at positions 355 to 776 of the family's 1533-position model. The record is from RNAcentral.